This 459-nucleotide ribosomal RNA is filed under the name uncultured bacterium. RNAcentral describes it as "partial 16S ribosomal RNA". It matches the Rfam family "Bacterial small subunit ribosomal RNA", at positions 338 to 795 of the family's 1533-position model. The record is from RNAcentral.
CCUACGGGAGGCAGCAGUGAGGAAUAUUGGUCAAUGGCCGGAAGGCUGAACCAGCCAUGCCGCGUGAAGGUCAGUGCCCUAUGGGCGUUAAACUUCUUUUGUCCGGGAGCAAUAAUGGUCACGUGUGGCCAGACGAGAGUACCGUCCGAAUACGGAUCGGCUCACUCCGUGCCAGCAGCCGCGGUAAUACGGAGGAUCCGAGCGUUAUCCGGAUUUAUUGGGUUUAAAGGGAGCGUAGAUGGGUUGUUAAGUCAGUUGUGAAAGUUUGCGGCUCAACCGUAAAAUUGCAAUUGAUACUGGCAGUCUGGAGUACAGUUGAGGUAGGCGGAAUUCGUGGUGUAGCGGUGAAAUGCUUAGAUAUCACGAAGAACCCCGAUUGCGAAGGCAGCUUACUAAACUGUGACUGACAUUGAUGCUCGAAAGUGUGGGUAUCAAACAGGAUUAGAUACCCUAGUAGUC